GAUGAGGCAUGCAAGUCGAACGGAAUAAUGACUUCGGUUGUUAUUUAGUGGCGGAAGGGUUAGUAAUACAUAGAUAAUCUGUCCUCAACUUGGGAAUAACGGUUGGAAACGACCGCUAAUACCGAAUGUGGUAUGUUUAGGCAUCUAAAACAUAUUAAAGAAGGGGAUCUUAGGACCUUUCGGUUAAGGAAGAGUCUAUGGGAUAUCAGCUUGUUGGUGGGGUAAUGGCCUACCAAGGCUUUGACGUCUAGGCGGAUUGAGAGAUUGACCGCCAACACUGGGACUGAGACACUGCCCAGACUUCUACGGAAGGCUGCAGUCGAGAAUCUUUCGCAAUGGACGAAAGUCUGACGAAGCGACGCCGCGUGUGUGAUGAAGGCUCUAGGGUUGUAAAGCACUUUCGCUUGGGAAUAAGAGAAAUUGGCUAAUAUCCAAUUGAUUUGAGCGUACCAGGUAAA
Molecule: ribosomal RNA, 458 nt
Filed under: uncultured Chlamydia sp.
Lineage: Bacteria; Pseudomonadati; Chlamydiota; Chlamydiia; Chlamydiales; Chlamydiaceae
Description: bacterial SSU rRNA
Rfam family: Bacterial small subunit ribosomal RNA
Source: RNAcentral